Molecule: long non-coding RNA, 634 nt
Organism: Pogoniulus pusillus (Red-fronted tinkerbird)
Lineage: Eukaryota; Metazoa; Chordata; Aves; Piciformes; Lybiidae
Exons: 3
Source: RefSeq, a predicted model, not a curated record
AAAGGCUCAGCUGGCGGCAAUUGCCAGAGCAGAGAGCACAGCAAGUGUCUGCAAUUGCCGCCAGCUGAAGAGCAGCAGCACAAUGUAGUGGCAAUUGCCAACAGCUGAACAACUGCUCCAGGACUCUCAUCUGCCUCCAAAAGAGCAGGCCAUGAAAAAAUAUACUCCUAAAAAGAAUCCUAGCACUACCUUUGUUUUUUAGAUGUCCUUAACCAACAACAAAUGACACACAGUUUCCCUUACAUGGUGAUAAAAACAAUUUGGUAAGAAACAGCCCUUCUGAGACUUUGGUUGGGUGUGAUGGGUGAGCAGGACCCCAGAAGCAGCAUAGCCCAGGCAGGGAUGGAUUCCAGAGAAACUGAAGAAGAUGGUCACUCCCAGCCUUCAGAGGACAGCCCAGCAUGGAACCAAGGCCCUAAGAAACACAGUGGCUGGGGAGAGACGGGAGCAGAAAUGAAGUUCAGCUUAACACAAAUAAGCAAGAGAGUUUCAUCUUGAUGACAGGAUUCUGACCUUGAUGCUUCAUCAGCAAACCAAACUGGACAUACAGAAGACCAUGCACAGAGCACAAUUCUGUGUUUCUGAAAUCUUUCUCCUAUAAUCAAGUGGAAUAGACCUACCUAGCAAAAUACCU